UGCGUUGGCCCGGUCCUUUCGGCACCGGAUUCCUCAGCCCCCAGCCCCCCGGGGUCGUCGGGAUCGGGCCUGUUCGCAA
This 79-nucleotide non-coding RNA is filed under the name Rhodopseudomonas palustris BisA53. RNAcentral describes it as "Bradyrhizobiaceae sRNA BjrC174". It matches the Rfam family "Bradyrhizobiaceae sRNA BjrC174", at positions 82 to 159 of the family's 201-position model. The record is from Rfam by way of RNAcentral. Lineage: Bacteria; Pseudomonadati; Pseudomonadota; Alphaproteobacteria; Hyphomicrobiales; Nitrobacteraceae.